RNAcentral lists this ribosomal RNA (253 nucleotides) under uncultured bacterium. Its description in RNAcentral is "partial 16S ribosomal RNA". It matches the Rfam family "Bacterial small subunit ribosomal RNA", at positions 524 to 776 of the family's 1533-position model. The record is from RNAcentral.
UACGAGGGGGGCAAAUGUUGUUCGGAAUCACUGGGCGUAAAGGGAGCGUAGGCGGGCUCUUUAGUUAGGUGUUUAAUCCCGGGGCCCAACCCCGGACAGGCACCUAAAACUGGGAGUCUUGAAUAGUGGAGAGGUCGGCGGAAUUGGGGGUGUAGCGGUGGAAUGCGUAGAGAUCCCCAAGAACACCAGUUGCGAAGGCGGCCGACUGGACACAUAUUGACGCUGAGGCUCGAAAGCAUGGGGAGCAAACAGG